GUUCUUCGGAACCAGAGACCGGCGCACGGGUGCGUAACGCGUAUGCAAUCUACCUUUUACAGAGGGAUAGCCCAGAGAAAUUUGGAUUAAUACCUCAUAGUAUUACGACUCGGCAUCGAGAUGUAAUUAAAGUCACAACGGUAAAAGAUGAGCAUGCGUCCCAUUAGCUUGUUGGUAAGGUAACGGCUUACCAAGGCAACGAUGGGUAGGGGUCCUGAGAGGGAGAUCCCCCACACUGGUACUGAGACACGGACCAGACUCCUACGGGAGGCAGCAGUGAGGAAUAUUGGUCAAUGGGCGCAAGCCUGAACCAGCCAUGCCGCGUGCAGGAUGAAGCAUCUAUGGUGUGUAAACUGCUUUUGUACGAGAAGAAACACUCCUACGUGUAGGAGCUUGACGGUAUCGUAAGAAUAAGGACCGGCUAACUCCGUGCCAGCAGCCGCGGUAAUACGGAGGGUCCAAGCGUUAUCCGGAAUCAUUGGGUUUAAAGGGUCCGUAGGCGGUUUUGUAAGUCAGUGGUGAAAGCCCAUCGCUCAACGGUGGAACGGCCAUUGAUACUGCAAGACUUGAAUUAUUGGGAAGUAACUAGAAUAUGUAGUGUAGCGGUGAAGUGCUUAGAGAUUACAUGGAAUACCAAUUGCGAAGGCAGGUUACUACCAAUAUAUUGACGCUGAUGGACGAAAGCGUGGGGAGCGAACAGGAUUAGAUACCCUGGUAGCCCACGCCGUAAACGAUGGAUACUAGCUGUUCGGAGCAAUCUGAGUGGCUAAGCGAAAGUGAUAAGUAUCCCACCUGGGGAGUACGUUCGCAAGAAUGAAAC
RNAcentral lists this ribosomal RNA (820 nucleotides) under uncultured bacterium. Its description in RNAcentral is "bacterial SSU rRNA". It matches the Rfam family "Bacterial small subunit ribosomal RNA", at positions 75 to 900 of the family's 1533-position model. The record is from RNAcentral.